AAUGAAUUGAGUGUUAAUUCCUUGAAGUGCAUAUUUAUUGGCUUGCAGGUUUUAUUUAUUUAUUUAUAUUUGGGCCUUGAAAAAAGAUGGAUGUUUCUUGGAAAUCCACAUGCUCAGAUGGGGCUGAGCGGUUCUAACUUAAAGAAAUAAUGCCAUAUCUUUCUCUUCCUGAUUUUUUUCCUCAUUUCAUGUUCUUCAAAAAUCAAAUCCUUAAAACUUCUUGAACAGCUCAAUUU
RNAcentral lists this long non-coding RNA (236 nucleotides) under Vitis vinifera (wine grape). RNAcentral's name for it is "long non-coding RNA (VVIN_LNC006683)". Lineage: Eukaryota; Viridiplantae; Streptophyta; Magnoliopsida; Vitales; Vitaceae. The record is from RNAcentral.